UCUGUCCUCCUUUGGCCUUCUGUAAAAUCUCAUUUUAGAAAAAAUGUUUACAAUUUUUGAAGUUGUUUAAAUUGAGCGAAGACAAAUGAUUUCUUCUGUUCUGAUAAGAUAGCCUGCUGCUGUAAUUUGACUUGCUGCUUCUCUUUUGUUUUACAGAUGAUGUCUUUCUACCUAAAGAUAUUGACCUAGACAGUGUGGAUAUGGAUGAGACAGAGAGGGAAGUGGAAUAUUUCAAAAGGUUCUGCUUGGAUUCUGCUAGACAGACCCGACAAAGACUGUCUAUCAACUGGUCCAACUUUAGCUUGAAAAAAGCCACCUUUGCUGCGCACUGAAUGAGGACUCCCUGGAGAGGGACACGCGAGAGGCAGGCUAGGCUGCACCACCCCAAGAGCCACGCCCCUCGCUGGCGCCCCAGAGCUGUGGUGCUUGCCAAGGGCUGUGCGGAGCUGGUGCUGCCUGAAACCCCAGACCGAGAAGUUGAUGCUCGGCCCACGCUGUUAGCUCGUGUGCGUGUAGUCUGUGCGUGAGACUCCUUCGAUUGUAGCUCUGUGCUGUCGGAUUGGAACAGUAGUUCCCGCCAAGUCCUCCCACCACCGCGGCCUCGGAGGCCUGGGCCGUGGCCAGAUAGGAGUUUGCAUCAUCCACGUGGCUCCGUUGCCUCUGCAUUGCGCCCUGUCCUGUCAUCUGUCCUCACCGGGGUAUCGGCCGUCACUCAGCUCUCCUGUGCCCCUGCGUCCCACCCUAGGCGGGCUGGGCGGGGCAGGCCUCCUUUGUUCUCCACAAUCUACUGUCUCCGAGUGUACACGUUGCGCUGUUUGUGUUUGAUCCCCCCUGACUUGUAGCCAGCUUGUGUAAGAUCCCUUGCAGAACGAGAAAGUUAAAAACAAGCCCACCCAGUACUCACACCAUCAAGUCUGUUAUAGAGUGUACGACUGUAUUAACACGGAGGCCUGCCUGGCUACUUUUUUAACAUAUUGUUAAGUAAUAUUAAAAUCAUGUCUUUCUUUUUGAAAGAUGGAAUACAUUAGUACAGCAGGAG
RNAcentral lists this long non-coding RNA (1039 nucleotides) under Pan troglodytes (chimpanzee). Its description in RNAcentral is "long non-coding RNA NONPTRT012355". Lineage: Eukaryota; Metazoa; Chordata; Mammalia; Primates; Hominidae. The record is from RNAcentral.